CCUACGGGAGGGCUGCAGUGGGGAAUAUUGGACAAUGGGCGAAAGCCUGAUCCAGCCAUGCCGCGUGUGUGAAGAAGGCCUUCGGGUUGUAAAGCACUUUCAGUGGGGAAGAAAGCCUUGGGGCUAAUACCCUCGAGGAAGGACAUCACCCACAGAAGAAGCACCGGCUAACUCCGUGCCAGCAGCCGCGGUAAUACGGAGGGUGCGAGCGUUAAUCGGAAUUACUGGGCGUAAAGCGCGCGUAGGCGGUCUGAUAAGCCGGUUGUGAAAGCCCCGGGCUCAACCUGGGAACGGCAUCCGGAACUGUCAGGCUAGAGUGCAGGAGAGGAAGGUAGAAUUCCCGGUGUAGCGGUGAAAUGCGUAGAGAUCGGGAGGAAUACCAGUGGCGAAGGCGGCCUUCUGGACUGACACUGACGCUGAGGUGCGAAAGCGUGGGUAGCAAACAGGAUUAGAUACCCCAGUAGUC
This 466-nucleotide ribosomal RNA is filed under the name Vreelandella stevensii. RNAcentral's name for it is "partial 16S ribosomal RNA". It matches the Rfam family "Bacterial small subunit ribosomal RNA", at positions 338 to 795 of the family's 1533-position model. Lineage: Bacteria; Pseudomonadati; Pseudomonadota; Gammaproteobacteria; Oceanospirillales; Halomonadaceae. The record is from RNAcentral.